Nomia melanderi (Alkali bee) is the source of this 529-nucleotide long non-coding RNA. RefSeq lists it as uncharacterized. The record is from RefSeq and is a predicted model, not a curated record. NCBI's taxonomy places the organism in Eukaryota, Metazoa, Arthropoda, Insecta, Hymenoptera, Halictidae.
UCGCGGUCCGCGAUUGGGUCGCGCAUAUUUCAUUCACAGUAACAGUAACAGCCUUCUCCUAACAGGCGAACGAGUUUUGCGUAAGUAACGUGAUAUAAUAGACAACAUGCCAGUGAGUCAAUGGGGAAUCUUUAAUGAUAAUUAUUAAAUGAUCGUUUCCAUCGCAAAUGAAUCUUUACAUAUGAACCUCGGCUGAGUGGAUUGGGAAUACUGAUUUUGUGGGGUCUGAUAGCGUUGAGUUUGUGAUUAAUAGAAUAGAGAUGAUGAAGAGAGAAGCUGGAAUUGGUAAAAUGGAUGUGGAUGUUGUUGCUUUUGAUGACUUUGGUACACUAUUCGUUUAAAUUCCAUGAAAUUUCACUGCUAUUGAUAAUGGAUUAAUAGGAAGGUGGUCGAGAGACGCCAGAUCGAUCGAAGAAGAAAUCCCGUCUACCGGGAAACGAACGAAAGGGUGGAGGAAGAAGGCGAACUCGAAUUUCCGGAUUCGAGGACAUUCCGCAGGCACCGGGGACUCCCUUCAAGGAAACCGCAC